UUUAAACUAAGAUCUUGGGAUCUCCAAUCAGGAAGGUAAGGUUACCAUUACAAAAAAAUGUAAUAGGCUUUAUCAUGUUCCUCUCGAUAGGCAACGUACUUGAUCUCUAGGCAAGCCUUUCAUAAGUGGAUCCAUGAUGUUCUCCUUUGAUUUUCACAUAUUUUAUGGAGAUAAUGUCAUUUGAGAUCAGUUGCUUAAUGGUAUUAUGUUUACAACAUAUAUAUCUAAACUUAGCAUUAUACCUACUGCUUCUAAUCCUUCCAAUACCCGAUUGACUAUCACAGUGUAUACUAAUUGCAGGUACCUGCUUAGGCCAAUAUGGAAUGUCCUCCAAGAAGUUACGAAGUCAUUCUGCUUCUUCUCCAGCUUUAUCUAAAGUAAUGAACUCAAAUUCUAUCAUUGAUCUAGCUAUGCAUGUUUACUUCAUCGAUUUCCAUGAGAUAGUAUCUCCACCAACGAUAAAUACAUAACUACUAAUAGACUUAGAAUCUUUCAUGUCAGAUAUCCAAUUUGCAUCACAAUAUCCUUUCAAUACCGCAGAAUAUUUUGAGAAGUGUAAUAUAUAGGUUAAGGUAUAUUUCAAGUAUUAAGAACUCUUAUCAAUGCCUUCCAAUGAUCAUGCUUGGAUUACUUGUAAAUCUAGUAAGUUUAUUCAUAGCAAACACUAUGUCCGAUUGAGUGCAAUUCAUAAUAUUCAUUAAUCUGUCAGUCGCUUGUAAACAUCUUAGUUGUGACACACAUUCACCCGUAUUCUUGACUUAGUGUAAACUUGUGUCAAUAUAGGUUUUCCAUGACUUUCCUCAAAGACAUUAUACUUCUUAAGUAUACUAUCAAUGUAACGAGAUUUGGGAAAGUACAAUUUUUUCCGAUGUUUUAGAAUUCUUAAUUCAUAAUAUCACUUCAAUCAUAUCCAUGUCUUUCAUAUUGAAAUGCUUUGUUAGCAUUUUCUUGGUGUUUAACAUUUCGUGACUAUUGCCCAUUAACAUGUCAUCUACAUAUAGACAUACAAUCAUAUGGUAUUCGGUGUAUGUUUGAUAAAUACACAUUUUUUAUUUUGAAUCCAUUUGACAACAUUGUUUUUCUCAAAUUUUUGAUAUCAUUAUUUGGGAGCUUGUUUCAAUCCGUAUAGGGAAUUAACAAGUUUAUAAAUCUUGUGUUUUUUAUUAGGAGAGAUGAAUCCUUUGAGUUGUUUCAUGUAUAUCUCCUCUUCUAACUUAUCAUUUAAGAAUGUCGUAUUUACAUCAAUUUGAUGAAUCUUGAGGUUAUGCAUUGCUACAAUUGCAACUAGCAACAUUAUCGACAUGAUUCUAGUCACAGGUGAGUAGGUAUCAAAGAAGUCAAGUCCUUCAUUUUACUUAUAUCAUUUGGCAAUCAACCCAGCCUUAUACUUGUCAAUAAAUCCAUUAGGUUUCAACUUCUUUUUGAAUUUCCAUUUACACCCUAAAGGCUUGCUCCCGGGAGGUAAAUCAAGUAACUCUAAGGUAUGAUUUUGCAUUAUGGAAUCUAUCUCGCUCUUGAUAGUUUCUUUCCAAUGUGGUGCUUCCAGUGUGAAAAUUGCUUCCUCAAAAGUCUUUGGGUCAUUUUCUACUAACGCCUUGAUUUUUUCUCAUUUGAAGUUCAAUUUGUAGUUUCACAAGUUCUUUUCCUUGAACUCGAAUUUUUCUCGUCUUUACAUGGAAAAAUAUUUUUGAAAAAUGAUGCAUUUCUUGAUUUGAUUAUGAUUUCCUCAUGUACAUCUUAAACUUCAUAUUUAUGUACAAAAAAAUGAUAUACACUACUAUUAUUGACAUAUCCAAUAAAUAUGCAAUCAACAGUUUUCGGAUCAAUCUUCACUUGCUUGGGCUUAGGAAUUUCAACCUUAGCCAAACACCCCCAUAUUUUUCAAGCGUUGGUAUGACGGAAGAUGACAUUUCAUAAUUUAUAUGAAGUUUCUUCCAAUUUUUUGAGGGAUAUCCUAUUAAGAAGAUUAUUUGUCGUUAAAAUAGUGUCCCCCCAUAAGUUAUGAGGUAAACCCGAACUUAACAACAUUGCGUUCAUCAUUUCUUUAAGAGUUCGAUUUUUGCGUUCAACAACACCAUUUGACUGAGAGGAGUAAGGUACCAUUGUUUGAUAAAUAAGUCCAUAUUCGAAACAGAAUUCUUCAAAUGGUACCCUGUAUUCACUUCCUCUGUCACUAUGAAUAUUCUUUAUU
Molecule: long non-coding RNA, 2191 nt
Filed under: Olea europaea (common olive)
Lineage: Eukaryota; Viridiplantae; Streptophyta; Magnoliopsida; Lamiales; Oleaceae
Description: long non-coding RNA (OEUR_LNC008727)
Source: RNAcentral